UUCGGCAUGCUCGCUUUUUAAAAUACUUUCAAGUAAAAUUAAAGUUUUGUGUGAAUUUUUGCAAUAAAACGUGUUUAUUGUUUCCCGUUGUGAAAUCAUUUUACAAAUCGAACUUUUGAAAUUUACUAUUUAUCAUUUAUAUUUGACUAAUCACUUCUGCCUCUGAUAUCUUCCCCUCUAUACUUCUGUUACAAUAACGCUAAAUUUUCAAAGUAAAAAAUCGGGAUUCAGAAGGUCAAUAUUGUCGCGUUUAUUUAAUCGUCGCGACGCGUACAAGCAUGUAAAAUUAACGCUGCUCUCUCAAAUGUAUACACGUGUAACUUGAAUCUAUAUAUUUCUGCUUUUCGAAUGCUUUCGUAGCAGUCGAGAAAUCACGCAUACCACGUCUUAGGGUUUCCUUUGUCUAUUAUUCGCAGAAAAAAAAUUUUCGCUAUAUAUAUGAUAUUCACACAUAUAUGAUAUUAAUUUCUCGUGAAAGUUCGAUGCGUCAAACAUGUGCGACGCAGAUAGCGACUACUAGAAAUUGUAUAAGUCCGGAUAGCAGAAAACGUUUGAAGGUAAUUUAAAACUUCCCAAAAUAUCCCAAGAGUAUUCAAAAUGGACAGGAAUUUUUGAGCUAGAAUAAUAGAAGAGAACGACCGUCCAAUAUAGUUAUUCUCAACAUUCCUUCCUAGUAUAAAGGAAAUUAUAUUUUCUCUUCUAUUGUUCGCAGAUAGCAUAGAAAAUUUCUGUGUCCAUUUUGAAUACUCUUGGGUUUCAGAAUAUUCUAUACAUAUCUUAAAUCAUCUUGAAAAAUGUUGUGCUAUUCUAUACAUCGAAGAAAUAUAUAAUAUAUAAGAAAUGUAAGAAAUAUAUUCGUAUAACAGAAAUAUUUAGUACUUUCAGGUAUACGUGAAUAUAUACGAAAGAAAAACGUUAGUCGUAUCGAUAUAUUCAGCGAAAAAAAAUUUGAAUUUGAUGUAAACGUUGACGAUCGUUAUCUCCUGGCACUGUUGCGAGAGAUGAAGACUUCAACAGCGCUUACAAGGUGAGAUUAUAAUUAAACAUGUGCAGUGUGAGAGAGUAUGAAUAUUCUUAUUCUUUACAUAUAAUUCAAUUGUCAUCAAUAUUACAGUGUAUGAACGAUUUGUUUGAAUGAUUUAAACUUGUAUCAACGUAACUAAUUGCUUUAUAAUUUCGUUACUUCGCACCUUACAGUAAUUCGAACACAUUCACGUACACAGACCAUUUAUAAUAGCUUUAACAUGUGUGUGGUAAAAUAAAUUAUUAGUAUUUUUUAAUUGUACAAUCAGUUGCAAAUCGGUUUUCAUAUUUUUAUCGAGUGAACCUGCAACGUUGGAAACUUGAAGCGUUUACAUGUUCGUUACGAAAUAAACCGUAGUAUUGCAGCUUCUUUCGAUAAAAGAUGUGCGAACCGACUGUACAGAUUUGCUUGUAGACAUUAACAUGGAACUAUUGCCGUCACAAAUUACUGCUUAGACACAAUUGAAAAACCUUAAUAAUUUCGUUUUAUUACAUGUUAAAAGAGAGAGAGCUUCUUGUGCUGUUCUGUGUACAACUUUUAGAAGAGAGACGAACACGUCGACUUUUCCUUUUAUCCUUUUAGUCACGCGGUGCGAGACUUUUACAGUGUAUGAUACAAAGAGAGAGGGAAAAAGAGAUUCAACAGCUUCAACAGGAAAGAGAGUUUCAACAGCUUGGAAUAUAUUUAAAGCAGGUCGUAUAAAUCGAUGCACAAUCGCCCUGAUACUUUCGUUACAUGAUGAGCGACAUUUUAUUUCAAUACAUUAUACACACAUUCAUACACACUCAUAUACACACAAACACACUUCACUUAUUCGUUGAAUUGCAAUUACAAUGUUAACGUACUGAUACAUUUUGUCAGAUAAGUGGAGGAACAUUUACUUACACACGAGUUUCACUCGAUGGAGUUGUCGUACUGCAAGCACUAAUGAACAGUGCGUGGUACAUGUUACUUAUUAUUUUCAUUGUGUGUGUGUGUGCAAUUUGCUGCGAGACUUAUUAUUUUUUUUCACACCAGGAAUAUAAAAAAAGAAAGUGUCGAAGAUUAUGUACGCGCUUGCGACUGUACAUUUCUAAGAAGUGAGAAAUAAAACAAAUAGAAACA
Molecule: long non-coding RNA, 2128 nt
Organism: Odontomachus brunneus
Lineage: Eukaryota; Metazoa; Arthropoda; Insecta; Hymenoptera; Formicidae
Exons: 2
Source: RefSeq, a predicted model, not a curated record